UGAGCUUGAUCAUGGCUCAGAUUGAACGCUGGCGGCAGGCCUAACACAUGCAAGUCGAGCGGAAACGAUGGAAGCUUGCUUCCAGGCGUCGAGCGGCGGACGGGUGAGUAAUGCAUGGGAAUCUGCCCGAUAGUGGGGGAUAACCUGGGGAAACCCAGGCUAAUACCGCAUACGUCCUACGGGAGAAAGCAGGGGAUCUUCGGACCUUGCGCUAUCGGAUGAGCCCAUGUCGGAUUAGCUUGUUGGUGAGGUAAUGGCUCACCAAGGCGACGAUCCGUAGCUGGUCUGAGAGGAUGAUCAGCCACAUCGGGACUGAGACACGGCCCGAACUCCUACGGGAGGCAGCAGUGGGGAAUAUUGGACAAUGGGCGAAAGCCUGAUCCAGCCAUGCCGCGUGUGUGAAGAAGGCCCUCGGGUUGUAAAGCACUUUCAGUGGGGAAGAAAGCCUUGGGAUUAAUACUCCCGAGGAAGGACAUCACCCACAGAAGAAGCACCGGCUAACUCCGUGCCAGCAGCGCUG
Molecule: ribosomal RNA, 520 nt
Filed under: Halomonas sp. M17-C38
Lineage: Bacteria; Pseudomonadati; Pseudomonadota; Gammaproteobacteria; Oceanospirillales; Halomonadaceae
Description: bacterial SSU rRNA
Rfam family: Bacterial small subunit ribosomal RNA
Source: RNAcentral